This 3961-nucleotide unclassified non-coding RNA is filed under the name Rhipicephalus microplus (southern cattle tick). RNAcentral's name for it is "hBS1-like protein, transcript variant X2". The record is from RNAcentral. Lineage: Eukaryota; Metazoa; Arthropoda; Arachnida; Ixodida; Ixodidae.
CAACAAUGCGCCCUUACGCCAUUUCUGAGUCUGGUCUUGCGUGUCUCCAACCGUGUUGCGUGUGUUGUUAAGCGACUCGAGGCAUGGCACGCUGCUCGAUUGUCGUCGUGCUCGAAGCCGCCCAAGUGUGUGUGACUCGGCAAUGUGAAACUGCGCGCUCGCAAAACCAUCGUCUCCUUUUUUAGCGGAGUGCCUCGCGUGAGAAGCGGGCGUCUUGUGCUGCCACUUCAAGAUGUCUCGGCACCGGAAUGUUCGGACUAUGAAUUACGAUGACGACUACGAAGGCUACUAUGAUGUCUACGGGAGAUCACAGGAAGAAGAUUCGUGCAUAUCUCCGACUACAGAGGAGCAGUUCCUGUACAACAGGGACAAGCUCCACUCCAUGUCAUCAUUCCUGUCUCCUGAAGUCCUGCAAGAGGAGAACGAGGAGGAGGACGAGGAAGACGAAUCCCACAAGCCUGCAACCCGGGAACCCCAGCUCAGUCCCGUGGACGAAGUGAGGCUUUACGAGUGCAUCGAGAAGAUGCAGAACGUGGUGGGUGACUCGAUACCUGAGGCCACGCUUCGUCGGGUGGCCCUCGAGGGAGACUUCAACGCCGAGGUCGCUCUCGACCGUCUCCUACGAGAAAUGGACAAGCCGAAGCCGCAGCGCGAGCCACGGAAGAGAGAAUCGGACAGCGAAGACGAUGAUUCAUGUGUCGUUUCGCCGUCCGACACGGUGUUCGAUGGUGGUGGUGGGACGUCCAUAGCGGUCCCACAUUUGACGACUGUCGUUGCACAGUUCGAUGUGCCUGCUAGAAGUCGGGGCGAUAAUGCGCGGAGAUCAAGCAGCAGCGAGCGCGCAGGGAGAGCUGCCGUGACAGCGAAUGCGGGGACAGACUCGGCAACACUUUUAAAUCUUGCGCUUUUUUCCUCUCCCCCCACUGCAUGUACAGUUGAAACCUUAGGUUGUGACUUAGAACUUGACGAUUUGCUCAAAUCAGAUUGCUCGGCUGAAUCGCGUAAGGCAGACAGCCUGCCGAAAGCCAUGCACAGUAUUAGCGGUUGUGACGGUGCACCGCAACCCUUGCUUGUUCAUGACCAGUGUGAGACAGUACCUGAAACAUCGCUCGCCCACGCUUCAAGCACUACUUGUGAUCUCAGUACUAACCUUCAAGUUAGUCGUAUGGACUCUAGGGACGGCUUUCUUGAGGCACUUCUCCAAGAAGGAAAUGUUCCAAGCGACAUCUCACCAUCGGGCCCUACAGGAAAACCAUCGAGUGCAGUGCCCGAUGAGCUGGACUUACUGUUGGGCAUGGUGUCGAGCCACAAGCCACAUCCUGUCGGCCCGAUCGACACUUCAAGACACAACAACCAAGCUACUUCAGCGAGUGCGAGUCGCAAUGUGCAAUCUGUAGGCAAACCUGUAAAAGAUGACGUUGGAGACAGCUUAGAUGAACUUUUGGGAAUCGGUGCGGACUCCUCAGCUCCGCGACAAGGCGGCAAAGGCGCUAUUGAAACGGACUUCGACGACUUUCUCAUGUCGUUGAGGACUGACUUUGGUGGUGCAAGUGACUUGACUAGGCGGGAGGAUGGUCUGGGGAUGCUGCCCAUCGCAGAUGUUUUGUCGGCAGCUUCCAGCGAUGAGAAGGGACCUAUGAAAUCGCCUCAGAAGCCAAGCUCGAAGAAACAGCAGCCCGCUUUGCUCAAUCUCGGUGAAAUACUCGGCCUGAACAGAGAGCCCACUCCCAAUACGGCUGCUGAGGGUGGAGCUCUCAAACUCGACGAUAUUCUGAAAGGAACCACGGCGGUGGGUGUUGCUGCGGUCACCAGACAAGAGAGCCACUCAUACGGUUAUGGCAGUGAAAGCCCCGAGUUUAGUCCCCUUCACAGCACCGCAGCUGUGAAAGAAGCGUCCCUCUUUGGCAAAGUACUCGUGUACUUCUGUUUUGUCCGGCGGCAGAUGCCUACCUUUGAGUUAAUGAGUUGGCUGAGAAAGCUUGGUGUGCUGGAGCUGAGGCCUGGAGAUAAAACGAGGAUGGCAGCAUUCAAUUUUGGCGUGCCGUCGCCCGAUGACAUCGUGCGUGCGUGUCGGAAACGUGCGGUUGCAGCGUCAGAGCGAAAACCAACGCCUCUCGGACAAGUUGGCGCGCCCGCCAGAGCUGCCGGUGCCAACAAGGAGCUGCUUCCCGCGGUCGACUCGGCGCUGAGGCAGUCGUUUCCCAAGCAACCUCAGCCUGAUGUCGAAGAUAAGCGCUGCAAAGCAUCGUCGGAGACUCUCAAGGUACCAAGUGCGACAAAUUCCAACCGCAGUUCUCCAGAUCUGGAUCGCAAGGAGCCCUCUCCAGAAGCUGGUGGGGACUCGCAGCCAGCUGACAGCGCCACCCCCAAAACACCAAGGUCCAAGCCACCCAAGGACGUGGCUGCAGAAUAUGCCAAGGAGAGGGGCUCCACGAAGUCUCUUCUCAACUUGGUGGUCAUUGGGCAUGUUGACGCCGGCAAGAGCACACUCAUGGGACACCUCUUGUACAGGCUGGGCUGUGUGCAGAAGAAGCAAAUGCACAAGUACGAGCAGGAGUCCAAGAAACUGGGGAAGGCUUCAUUCAUGUAUGCCUGGGUGUUGGAUGAGACGUCUGAAGAGAGGAAUCGCGGAAUCACCAUGGAUGUGGCUCAGGCGAAGUUUGAGACGCCUAACCGUAGUAUCGUCCUCUUAGAUGCACCGGGUCAUCGAGACUUCAUCCCAAACAUGAUCACGGGCGCCGCCCAAGCGGACGUUGCCAUCCUAGUAGUUGACGCCACCCGGGGCGAAUUCGAAACUGGUUUCGAAACGGGAGGGCAGACGAGGGAACACACCUUGCUUGUGCGGUCACUAGGUGUCUCCCAGCUUGCAGUGGCCAUCAACAAGCUGGACAAUGUGUCGUGGGACGAGGGGCGCUACAACGAAAUCACGGCCAAGCUGCGCAGUUUCUUGCGACAGGCCGGCUACCGGGAGUCUGACUUCACCUUCGUGCCUUGCAGUGGCCUGACGGGCGAAAAUCUGACCACCAAACCGGAGUCCGGUUCUCCACUCACCAAGUGGUACAUGGGGCCUUGCCUUGUUGACGUUAUUGAUAGCUUCAAGCCACCCGAACGGCCCGUGUCGAAGCCUUUCCGGUUAUGCGUAAGCGAUGUUUUCAAGGGCCAGGGGUCUGGUUUCUGCGUUUCCGGUCGGAUAGACGCCGGCUGUGUGGCUAACGGCGACAAAGUCCUAGUGAUGCCGGCAGCCGAGCAGGGAACCGUUAAAGGAAUCACCAUUGACGAGUUAUCAACGACGCAAGCGUUUGCGGGUGAUCAAGUGGCACUGACACUGGCCGGUGUGGACAUGAUCAAGGUCACUACAUGGAAGCUUCCUCUGUGAUCCGGCCGUGCCAAUUCGGGUGUCGACGCGGUUCCAAGCACGUCUGGUGGUGUUUAACAUCGAGGUUCCCCUGACUAGGGGAUUCCCCGUUGUGCUCCACUACCAGAGCACGACGGAGCAGGCUUCCAUCCAUCGCAUAAUAUCGCAGCUGAACAAGGUCACGGGUGAAGUGGUGCGCAACAAGCCGAGGUGUUUGGUGAAGAACACGAGUGGCCUGGUUGAAAUCAAGGUGAGCCGUCCAAUAUGCGUGGAACUCUACAAGGAAUUCAAGGAGCUCGGCCGCAUCACUCUUCGGUCGGGUGGCAGCACCGUGGCCGCUGGCGUUAUCACCGAGGUGAUGUAAUUGACCAAAGGUCGGCAUUCUACAGCCAGUGGCGAUACGUGAAACAAAUAGACUUUUGACUUCACAAGCAUGGAUGACUUUGCAGAAUCACUUUGGCGAACAAUGCGGCACUGGACAGAGGCUAGCAAACCCUCUACUGAUGCAAGCUUUCUACAGUCGAUCUGUGUUUUCACUUAUUUUUUUUUUUUCAUUUGCGUCGGUUAAGGCAAUAAAAAAAGUGGGGACUGUGCCUGCAAGCAUAA